UGAGAAACCAAGCUGCCCCUAUAGAGAUACAUAAAAUAUAGGCAAAAGAGUAAGGAGGAGGAAUGAGGUCUAGUAGUGAAGAGAGUGGACUUGGUGACGAGUAAGAUCUUGGAGAUAGUGGUUCCAUUUAAGGAAUCACUUGUAAAUAUUUUAAUUGCUUAGACGAGUUAUUUUAAGCCUUAGAGGCUAAAACUUAUUUGCUUUACAUUGGGUUUGAAUAUUGGU
This 225-nucleotide long non-coding RNA is filed under the name Trifolium pratense (red clover). Its description in RNAcentral is "long non-coding RNA (TPRA_LNC011214)". The record is from RNAcentral. Lineage: Eukaryota; Viridiplantae; Streptophyta; Magnoliopsida; Fabales; Fabaceae.